GACUCCGUGGCGCAACGGUAGCGCGCUUGACUCCAGAUCAGAAGGUUGCAUGUUAGAAUCAUGUCUGGGUCA
This 72-nucleotide transfer RNA is filed under the name Dryococelus australis. RNAcentral describes it as "tRNA-OTHER". It matches the Rfam family "tRNA". From Rfam's summary of the family: Transfer RNA (tRNA) molecules are approximately 80 nucleotides in length. Their secondary structure includes four short double-helical elements and three loops (D, anti-codon, and T loops). The record is from RNAcentral. Lineage: Eukaryota; Metazoa; Arthropoda; Insecta; Phasmatodea; Phasmatidae.